GACGAACGCUGGCGGCGUGCUUAACACAUGCAAGUCGAACGAAGAGCGAUGGAAGCUUGCUUCUAUCAAUCUUAGUGGCGAACGGGUGAGUAACGCGUAAUCAACCUGCCCUUCAGAGGGGGACAACAGUUGGAAACGACUGCUAAUGCCGCAUACGAUCUGACCUCGGCAUCGAGGAUAGAUGAAAGGUGGCCUCUAUUUAUAAGCUAUCACUGAAGGAGGGGAUUGCGUCUGAUUAGCUAGUUGGAGGGGUAACGGCCCACCAAGGCGAUGAUCAGUAGCCGGUCUGAGAGGAUGAACGGCCACAUUGGGACUGAGACACGGCCCAGACUCCUACGGGAGGCAGCAGUGGGGAAUCUUCCGCAAUGGACGAAAGUCUGACGGAGCAACGCCGCGUGAGUGAUGACGGCCUUCGGGUUGUAAAGCUCUGUUAAUCGGGACGAAAGGCCUUCUUGCGAAUAGUUAGAAGGAUUGACGGUACCGGAAUAGAAAGCCACGGCUAACUACGU
RNAcentral lists this ribosomal RNA (509 nucleotides) under uncultured bacterium. Its description in RNAcentral is "partial 16S ribosomal RNA". It matches the Rfam family "Bacterial small subunit ribosomal RNA", at positions 28 to 506 of the family's 1533-position model. The record is from RNAcentral.